This 73-nucleotide transfer RNA is filed under the name Canis lupus familiaris (dog). It matches the Rfam family "tRNA". From Rfam's summary of the family: Transfer RNA (tRNA) molecules are approximately 80 nucleotides in length. Their secondary structure includes four short double-helical elements and three loops (D, anti-codon, and T loops). RNAcentral also lists the same sequence under 2 other names. The record is from Rfam by way of RNAcentral. Lineage: Eukaryota; Metazoa; Chordata; Mammalia; Carnivora; Canidae.
ACCUGGCUGGUUCAGACAGAAGAGCAUGUGACUCUUGAUCUCAGGGUCAUGAGUUCAAGUCCCAUGUUGGAUG